UCCAGCGCUCUGGGAGAGUUUAUAGUCCUGACAGUUGAACACUGGAUGACUGACAGCUGUCCUUCAUCACAACGAAGACACAGAAAUCCUCCUCAUCUAAAACAUGACUUUGAUCUGCGUCCUCAUCUGGACUCUCCUCUGCUUCACUCAGGGAUCUGAUGGACAAAAUGUUGUUGUGACUCAAUCAGCAGCCGAAUCAGUGCAGCUCAGUCAGACGGUCACUAUUGACUGUAAGGCCAGUCAGGCACUUUCAACAUCUCACUGUAGCUACAACUCACAGGUCUGCCUGUCCUGGUACCAUCAGAAACCUGGAGAAGCUCCUAAAGCUCUGAUCUACUGGACAUCAGACAGAUUUUCAGGAAUCUCCUCCAGAUUCAGUGGAAGUGGAAAAGGAAAUGGAUUAGACUUCACUCUGACCAUCAGUGGAGUUCAGGCUGAAGAUGCAGGAGUUUAUUACUGUAUGAGUUAUCACUCCAUCAACAGUCAGUGGAUGUUCACACAGUGAAAAAUCACCGUACAAAAACCUCCCUCAGUCUUACAACAGAAACUGAACUUUGUUCUGCACCUGGAAUCUGCUGCUGAAACUGAUACAGUUCAUUAAACACAAACACACUGAACACACAUAUUAAUAA
Poeciliopsis prolifica (blackstripe livebearer) is the source of this 632-nucleotide non-coding RNA. NCBI's taxonomy places the organism in Eukaryota, Metazoa, Chordata, Actinopteri, Cyprinodontiformes, Poeciliidae. The record is from the annotation of a RefSeq genome assembly.